GAAACCGUCCAAUUAAUAUUCUCUGUGAGCACCCAAAAAUAAAAAAUAAAAAGUAAAAAGUAGCACAAAGACACAUCACAAUUUCACACGGGUUUAAUAUUUCACUCAUCAGAGAGACUUUCCACCACGGCACUCGUUCCCACCGCCGUCAACACCAAUGGCAGACGAAUCCUCUCUUCGCGUCUCAGAUCUCUGCCGAGGAGUCCGAUGCCAAAGAGCUCGUUCUCACAUUGGAUCACUCCAACUUCCACCACACUGUCAGCAAGCAUGAUGUUGUCGAGUUCUACGCACCAUGGUGUGGCCUCUGUAAGAAGCUUGCUCCCGAGAAACAAAGUGGUCCUGCUUCAACUGAAAUUAAAUCUGCUGAUGAAGCUACUGCAUUUAUUGGUGAAAACAAAGUUGCUAUUGAAACAUAUGAAGAAUUAAUGACACAAAAAUAUGGAGAAGACACUUCAUCUCAUCUUGUAAUUGAUUCUGAUCUUUGGUUAAAAGCUGCAGGUAAAAACAAGAAGAAAAGAGUUCAUGGCAUGGGGCAUAGCUUGGAUCUUGGAACUAGUAGCUCUACACAAGCUUCAUCUCCAGAGGUUGCAAGUUCCUCUACAAAUCUUACGCCUAUGACAGAAGAACGGGUCACUACAGUUAUAAAUACUGCAUUGGCCUCUUUUUUGCAAACACAAUUACCAGAGAUGAUGAGAUAGAUAAUUCAGGCAGUUCAACCAUCAACAACACCAUCAACCAACCAACGUAGGGAGGAUUAAGGACGAGAUGAUGAUUUUACUAGCUUAGGUUGAUUACUAUUUAGGAUGACUCAUUAUUUGGCUUUUCUUUUUGUAAGAAAUUGAUUAGUUUGGGUUUCUUUAAGAUAGUAUGCACAAGUUGGAUUUUGUAAGACAUUUAACAAUUUAGUUUUUUAUUUUAAAUCAUGUCCAAUUGAAAAAAAUUAUGUAGUUGAUUUAAAUUUAUUUAAAAUAUCAAAUU
Molecule: non-coding RNA, 978 nt
Organism: Cajanus cajan (pigeon pea)
Lineage: Eukaryota; Viridiplantae; Streptophyta; Magnoliopsida; Fabales; Fabaceae
Source: RefSeq, a predicted model, not a curated record